AUCGAGCGUAGGUUCCUAGCGAGCCCAACCUCCCACCCGUGUUUACUGUACCUUAGUUGCUUCGGCGGGCCCGCCAUUCAUGGCCGCCGGGGGCUCUCAGCCCCGGGCCCGCGCCCGCCGGAGACACCACGAACUCUGUCUGAUCUAGUGAAGUCUGAGUUGAUUGUAUCGCAAUCAGUUAAAACUUUCAACAAUGGAUCUCUUGGUUCCGGCAUCGAUGAAGAACGCAGCGAAAUGCGAUAACUAGUGUGAAUUGCAGAAUUCCGUGAAUCAUCGAGUCUUUGAACGCACAUUGCGCCCCCUGGUAUUCCGGGGGGCAUGCCUGUCCGAGCGUCAUUGCUGCCCAUCAAGCACGGCUUGUGUGUUGGGUCGUCGUCCCCUCUCCGGGGGGGACGGGCCCCAAAGGCAGCGGCGGCACCGCGUCCGAUCCUCGAGCGUAUGGGGCUUUGUCACCCGCUCUGUAGGCCCGGCCGGCGCUUGCCGAACGCAAAUCAAUCUUUUCCAGGUUGACCUCGGAUCAGGUAGGGAUACCCGCUGAACUUAAGCAUAUCA
RNAcentral lists this ribosomal RNA (552 nucleotides) under Aspergillus flavus. RNAcentral describes it as "eukaryotic LSU rRNA". The stretch from base 183 to 336 matches the Rfam family "5.8S ribosomal RNA". Lineage: Eukaryota; Fungi; Ascomycota; Eurotiomycetes; Eurotiales; Aspergillaceae. The record is from RNAcentral.